This 448-nucleotide ribosomal RNA is filed under the name uncultured bacterium. RNAcentral's name for it is "bacterial SSU rRNA". It matches the Rfam family "Bacterial small subunit ribosomal RNA", at positions 397 to 842 of the family's 1533-position model. The record is from RNAcentral.
CCGCGUGGGUGAAGAAGGCUUCGGGUUGUAAAGCCCUUUUGUUGGGAAAGAAAAGCAUUCGGUUAAUACCCGAUUGUUCUGACGGUACCCAAAGAAUAAGCACCGGCUAACUUCGUGCCAGCAGCCGCGGUAAUACGAAGGGUGCAAGCGUUACUCGGAAUUACUGGGCGUAAAGCGUGCGUAGGUGGUUGUUUAAGUCUGUCGUGAAAGCCCUGGGCUCAACCUGGGAAUUGCGAUGGAAACUGGGCGACUAGAGUGUGGCAGAGGGUAGUGGAAUUCCUGGUGUAGCAGUGAAAUGCGUAGAGAUCAGGAGGAACAUCCGUGGCGAAGCGACUGCCUGGGCCACACUGACACUGAGGCACGAAAGCGCGGGGAGCAAACAGGAUUAGAUACCCUGGUAGUCCACGCCCUAACGAUGCGACUGGAUGUUGGGUGCAUUUGGCACGCA